UCAAUCUUAUUCAUUUCCUGACUAUGUGCUGGGUUAGAACAGUAUAGAGACAGCAGUAAAAACAGCAUAAAAGCAGAAUCUUUUAAUUUUCAGCCUUGAGAUGUUCAGUGCUGCCAUUCAGUGGGAUGGAAAAGGACAAGAGAAGGGCCCAUCAGAUUCGCAGGAUGGAUCUUUAUGAUGAAUGCCAAAGCCACCUUGUACAUAACUGAGCCUGAAGAGUAAUGAGUGUAAGAUGAGAGGACAUCCUUCAGUGAGGAGCAGAGAUCUUGGGAAAGGGCAAGAAGUAAAGAUAGAAGUCUGUGCUGUGAGGAAAUCUGCUGCAGUCUGCUGAGGAU
Numida meleagris (helmeted guineafowl) is the source of this 335-nucleotide long non-coding RNA. RefSeq lists it as uncharacterized. The record is from RefSeq and is a predicted model, not a curated record. The transcript is spliced from 3 exons. NCBI's taxonomy places the organism in Eukaryota, Metazoa, Chordata, Aves, Galliformes, Numididae.